GGGCCGUGCCGGCGCCGCAGUCUCCGCACGACCCGACGCACUUCCUCCCGCCCCAAGGACGCCGUAGCCGGUUGGGUAGCUGCGCGAGUCGGCCAUAAGGACGGGCACCGGAAGGUGGCCAGUGGCGUUCCCCGUGUUCGUCGCUGGUCGUUAUCCAGCCCGCCCGUGGCACGACACCCGACCGAGGUCGCAGGUCCCGGUUAGGACCUCGCCGUCCCCUCCCCCGUGGUCGAGCAGGAACGCCAGCAGGCGCUUCUCCGUUCCGUGGUUCCACUCUCCGAGUGGACCGUGGUCCGGGGACGCUGUUGGCGCGGACGUUUCCUGCGUGGGGUUUUCCGGCGGCUUACGGCGAGUAGGUCGGUCACCCACCCGACCCGUCUUGAAACACGGACCAAGGAGUCUAACAUGUGCGCGAGUCAUUGGGUCUUGUUCAGGCCCAGAGGCGCAAUGAAAGUGAAGGCCGUCCUCGACGUCGGCCGAGUUGGGACUCUCC
RNAcentral lists this ribosomal RNA (493 nucleotides) under Nhandu chromatus. Its description in RNAcentral is "eukaryotic LSU rRNA". Lineage: Eukaryota; Metazoa; Arthropoda; Arachnida; Araneae; Theraphosidae. The record is from RNAcentral.